This is a long non-coding RNA of Caretta caretta (loggerhead turtle), 2213 nucleotides long. RefSeq lists it as uncharacterized. NCBI's taxonomy places the organism in Eukaryota, Metazoa, Chordata, Testudines, Cheloniidae. The record is from RefSeq and is a predicted model, not a curated record.
UGCUCUGAAAAAAUCCCAGAUAUUUCCUGUUUGAAAAAUCCACCUGGACAGAGGAUGGAGGCUCAAAAAAAGAGGCAAUAUCUAGGAAAACCUGGACAUAUGGUAACCCUACCCUAGAAUGGGAAGACCUGAACCUAUUGUACUCACACAGUCAUUCUAAAAAAUUCAUAAUCUUAAAACUACAGAAACCAGAAGCCUCAAAAGCCAUUUCCCUCUGUGACACAAGAGAACUGUCCCCCCAGAUGAACUAUUUACUACUCUGAUAUAAUCAAUACUGUACACCAAAUUCUUAAGGCAUCUGAACCAUCACAACCCUACUUGCCUUUUCUUCAAGAAUCUCAUCUGUUUUUUGUAGGUAAAAAGGCAACAAGCAGCUUUAAUCAGGAUUACUUCAAACGCGCAGAACUAGGUUGUAUCACUGCUAGACGCACAGCCCAGGUGAAUCCAGGAGCAGCCCUGCCUUCAAACACAUUGACUGAGCAUGUGCACAGUGGGUCACAAAGGACAGUUGUGAAUUCAGCAAUGUUACAAAACAUGCAGUUGUCAAGAUUGUAUAACAGCUGCUUUGGGAACAGACAAGUACCUGCUGUUGAAGGACCAUGGAGGAUGUAGAAACUGAUAAGUUCAGGAUCCCCAGUGAGAGAGACUUUCAGAUUGAUGUACACAAGCUAGAAUUGGAGAGAAGGAACGAGGAAGCUGAGGAGUGUUUCUGCUUGGUUCUUUCCUCACUGGAACAUCAUAAGACUACAAGUUCAGUUCCUGCAGAUUAUCAAAAGUCUGAGGUGGCAUCAUGCACAUCAGCACUCUCAGCUGCAGGACAUUUACUGCAGUUAUUUCACUCUGGCACUCCUACCCUCAUUUGACUCCAGACAGAUCUGGAACUACCUUUACCUUUGUCUGUUCAGGAGGCUGAUUCAGCCAAAGUAUGUUCUGGGAAUUUUUGCUCAUCUACCACUCACCCUGAAUUUCUAAGUGUGAAUCAAAGCAUCUCCAAUAAACUUUCAUUUGCUGCUGUGGCCCAGAAUUCAGCACCAAAGAGCAAAAAUGAAAACUGGACAUCUUCAUGGACUUUGAAAAACAGCUGCUCUGAUAAUGUAAAAUGUCCUCAGAAAAGUUAUGAGACUGAUCAACUGUCAAUAGCUAUAGAAAGUGCAUAUCAUGGCUAACCGGAGCCUGAAGAUUGUGUUUUGUAUUCUUUGGAUAACUGUGUUUGUUCUUAGUGGAGAUCUCACCUGCAAAUAAGUCUAUAAACAGAGCUGAAAAGGGAAGGAGAAAGAAGAAGGCAUCUUUGCCAAGGAGCCCGGUAGCUGUGAAAGCUGCAGUGUUCUGGUGUAGAAGAGAUUUGUGUGUAUAUGACAAACCUGCAUUAAUAAAGACACAGGAUCUUGAGGUUCCAAUUAUCCCUGUUUUCCAGUGGAGCUUCCAUGAAGAAAAUGGGCAAAAUUAUACAUUGGCAGCUGGAGGCGCUAUCAGAUAUGGGCUUUCCUAUGCCCUGCCGUAGCUGAACCAGUCUCUGCUGGCCAGGUUUAAACUCUUUUUGAGAUCUUUUAAGACAAAAAAACUUGUACCUUUCCCUAUAUUCCAGUUUUUGUGGGAGAUGACAUUUAAGUAUUCAUAUGAGUCUUUUGGCUAGCUUCUAGCAUAUUUUACAACCUGAAGAAUGACUGGGGUUUUGAAAAUGACCCUCAAAGGAACAUGAACCGGAAUUUUGCCUUUAUUUGUCUUUUUAUAAUGAAUAAGCCUUUUUUAUGUCAUCUUCCACCAGUGAUAUUUGGUUUCUCUUUCUAUUGUUGUGGAUUUAUUUUUAUUUUCAAAUCAUUAUUUUGAAGUAGGAAAGGAAGCGUUAGACUAAAAACUUGUUAUAUCUUUGUGGCUGCAAAUCAACCAUCCUUUCAUAAUCUACUGGUUUGUGUAUAAAUCACCAUUGCCCUCUAGUGGAUGGAAUGUCAAACGUAUUUGUACGUGCCUAGGUUCUGAGCUAGUGGAACUGAUUUUCCUAGGUCACAGGUUUGGUAGAUAAAAGUUCAAUUUUCACACCUGUUGCCACAUGCUGGUGACUGGUAUAUAUUUGUGCCUACAUGUUGUUGCAUUUGACUCAGCAUAACGUGCCUAAGUAUUGCUGAUCAUAUUGUAUGCAAGAGCAUCUUCUGUUCUAAAACUAUUAAAGUAGCUAAGCAAUAGUUUCUUGCUUCUUUGGACUGUGGCAAUUUUGU